Molecule: unclassified non-coding RNA, 337 nt
Filed under: soil metagenome
Description: partial contains 5.8S ribosomal RNA, internal transcribed spacer 2, and large subunit ribosomal RNA
Rfam family: 5.8S ribosomal RNA (bases 1-120)
Source: RNAcentral
GAUGAAGAACGCAGCGAAAUGCGAAAAGUAGUGUGAAUUGCAGAAUUCAGUGAAUCAUCGAAUCUUUGAACGCACAUUGCGCCCCUUGGUAUUCCAUGGGGCAUGCCUGUUCGAGCGUCAUUUGUACCUUCAAGCUCUGCUUGGUGUUGGGUGUUUGUCCCGCUUUUUGCGUGGACUCGCCUCAAAGCAAUUGGCAGCCGGCGUACUAGCCUGGGAGCGCAGCACAUUUUGCGCAUCUCGACUGGAACGCUUGCGUCCAUUAAGCCUACACUUUUGCUCUUGACCUCGGAUCAGGUAGGGAUACCCGCUGAACUUAAGCAUAUCAAUAAGCGGAGGA